AUUGAACGCUGGCGGCAGGCCUAACACAUGCAAGUCGAGCGGAGCGGCGGACGGGUGAGUAAUACCUAGGCAUCUGCCAGGUGGUGGGGGGUAACGUCCGGAAACGGGCGAUAAUACCGCAUACUAUGAGAUGAGACUAGGUCGUAUUAGCUAGUUGGUGGGGUAAAGGCCUACCAGGGCUACGAUCCGUAACUGGUAUGAGUGGAUGAUCAGUCAAACUGGAACUGUGACCGGGUCCAGACUCCUACGGGAGGCAGCAGUGGGGAAUAUUGGACAAUGGGCGAAAUCCUGAUCCAGCCAUGCCGCGUGUGUGAAGAAGGUCUUCGGAUUGUAAAGCACUUUAAGUUGGGCGGCGUUACCAACAGAAUAAGCACCGGCUAACUUCGUGCCAGCAGCCGCGGUAAUUC
This 407-nucleotide ribosomal RNA is filed under the name uncultured bacterium. Its description in RNAcentral is "partial 16S ribosomal RNA". It matches the Rfam family "Bacterial small subunit ribosomal RNA", at positions 30 to 526 of the family's 1533-position model. The record is from RNAcentral.